CAGACCGCAGGUCGUAUGCUAAUGAGCAAAACCGGCCUGUUUUAUUUCCAAUCCCGCGAGCGCUCGCUCCUGGCAUCUAACGUCUCGCGAGUCACGAGAUUUUUGUACCGUGUACUGCGAGUGCAGUUUAAGAGAAAACCACGCUUUCUGCGGUCGCCAUGUUUAGGUGAGUACAUAGUCCGUUUUCUUGUGUCUAUUAUCGUUCUUUUUCUGUAAAAUUUGAGUAAAAUUUCGUAUAGAAAACACGUCAUAACCACACGCCUCUCUUUAGGAACUGUUUUUGCAAGCCUCUAAAUGUUGCUGGAUCCUGACCCUGUCAUAAAAUGUACGAUUUUAAUUUGUUUUUAAUUGCCAUCUGCAGAUGUUGACGAUUCCAUCGAUAUGUAAUUUGUCCCGGCUCACAAAUUAACAAUAUGAGUAUUUGCCCCCCUAAAGUUAUGAAUAUUUAAUUAGUUGAUCGUCUUGAAACCGUGAACGAUGUGCACAAAGUCACGUGUUACCGGAAUCCGAACUUAAGAGGCCAUUUUCGAUGAACGGUCAAGUUUUUAUAGUGUAGUCCCGCGUACUUACAUUUUUGUGUUUAAACCACUCGUUAGGUAACCAGUCGCAAACAUUGAAAGAAAAGAUCGUAGAGUCGAAUUCAUGAAGCAAAUAUGUUAUGAAUUUAUCAAAUUUACAUAUAUAACCGUAAAAAAUUAUAUGGUUAAUAAAAAGGUCUUCCAAAUUCUAUAUAUUUUUGCUAGAUCAAGGUAAGGAGAUUGAUUUGAUGUAGAUUGUGUCUUGACUUGAGACUGAGAAGUGAGAGUUGAGUGAUCAGUGAUGAUGUGAUGUCUGAUGGUGAUGGAGCCAAGUAUUUGCACUUGCAGUUUUAAACGUCUAGUAACAGUAACUUAGAUCAUGACAUGGGUGAGAAUCUAUGAUGAAAAUCAAGCAAGACCCAGUUUUUUUAUUAUCAAAAUCAGUUUGUAAUUAACUUGGGUCACAGCAUGCAGCAGCCUGUGCAUCUGCCAUGUCUGGGCGCUGCGCCUGCGGUGACUAUUCAGACUAGUUUAUCCUAUUCUCAAAUUCUUUCAAGUUUCAUAUCUCACUCUCAGAUUCAAAAGUUUCAAUUGUCAGAGCAAGGUCAUUAGCUACCAAUCUUGAAAGUUGAAAUGGCCCUAGAAUUCCAUUUAUCAUGGUGAUAUUGCAGUGAUCCAUUAAAUUGAGCUGUGUUGAACCGAGAUUGAAGGCACUUUUGCCCCCCCUGAAUUUUACCAAUCUUUCUGGUGUAGAUUUAAACGUAGUUAAAUUUCUGCUUUUUUUUAUCAACAGUCACUUAUUCUUAGUUUCUUUUGUUUCCCUUUUUUUCGUUCCAUGUAGGAGAUGGCAGAUUCAUGUAUAUGGUGACUCAAUUGUUCGUGGUGUAAGUUUUGAUCAGGAUCAGUUUGGUGGCAAAAUAUUCUGCUAUCCGGGUGCCACUGUUAGGAAUCUUCGACAGAUAAUUAGAGCACAAACAGACUUUGACUCCACAGUGGAUGCAGUUGUAAUCCAUAUUGGAACUAACAAUCUCGGCAAUAGUGUCUGGGAAAGAACUGGAGGACAAUAUAGAGAUUUGAUUUUUAGUGUACGUGAGAAGUACAGAGAAUCAAGAAUAUUUGUUUCCGCAAUCUUGCCUCGUUGGGACGAUGACAGUUUUUAUGAGCAGUCUCUUUAUUUUAAUUUGAAAUUACAUUGUUUGACUAAAGAAUUUUUCAAUUGUACUUUCGUCGAUUGUACUCGACCUUUCUCCUUUUCAUUUGAGCGCUUUAAUUUUGAUGGAUUACAUCUGAACAAGCGAGGGAAAACCACCUUUUCAAAGGAACUUUCUACCAUAUUACUGAGGAAUCUUGAUCCUGUAAAACCCACAGCAAAGAAGUACGUGCCUGCAGAACUGUUAAUAUUAUGGACCCCUCCACGUAGAAGAAAAUCCACCUGUACACAACACCAGCCUGCACAACACAAAUCAACCAUCUCAUCGGAAUCCGGCCCACCUAACUCAUCAGAAUCAUCCAACUCCUCCAAAUUACCCAAAUCAUGCGUAGCGCCCACUUUAUCUACGCAAUGUAGCGGACAACCAAAGACAAUGCCGAGGCCAAGGAGAAGGAGGAAGAAGAAGAGGAAAAAACAUGUGGAGAAAGACGAGUUGGGGUUCAUGACCCACAAAAAGCCUGCCCGACAACCAGUCCGGCCCCCAGACCUUCCUCCAAACAUGUUCAUCCCGGAUGUUUGUCCAAGAUGGUCCAUCCCUUACAAGCACCUCGGUCAAGGACCUCUACGUUCCCCCUGUGAGCUGCCAGGAAUUACCCAUUCUCCUUACGUCCACAGAAGACUACGAGGGAAAAUGAAACGUCGUCAUCUAAACGCGAGCAAACGUCAAAGACGGCGUAGAAAGAUUUCAUACAGACGGUAUCUCUGCAUCCUCAGUAACCUUCCCAAGUUUGUGCAGCAGGGGUAAAGCCUUGCAAGAAGGAGCAGUGUGGACCCUGUGCCUUAUGCAAACGUUCAUCCACAAGGUAUUGUCACCUGGUGACCAUCAUAUCAACGACACUCAAGGCGGCAAUUGUGGCUGCUCAUCCAAGUACCAAAGACACAGACUGCAUAUGCAACGCCUGCCGGAUUAAGUAUAACAACAAAGUAAAAGAUUCAAAAUAUACACCAGAAAAAUCUCGUGAAAAAGUCAGGUCUCAGUUAUGUAUUCUCUCAAAUGAGGGGCGGUGUCAGAGCAAUUCUCAAGUUGAUUCAAAUAUUUCUGUUGAACAAUUCAAUCGUGCAUUUGACCUUCAAUAUUUGUUGUUGCCCUCCCCUACACCUUUGUGCCAUCAACAUAGAUUAGAAGUUGUGCAUUUCAAAGAACUCACAGAAUGUGCUGUCUGUAGUCACUUGUUGAAAGUAAGUCAGUCAACUAAAUUUUAUAGGUUGGAUGAAUGUGAAAAAGUAAGCAUGGAAAAACUGUUACUUAUUAAUGAAUGCUUCAGAGCUAAUGAAGGAGAUCUGAUUUGUAAACAGUGCUACAAUUUUUCAUCUAGACAACAAGUUCUAACAGACUUAGAAAAAACUAUAGAUAGCAUUGAAACCACUCUUUCAGAGGUGAGCCAUGAUGAGGAAGAUUCUGUUACGCCCAAAUCCAUUCUUAAGAGAUUGUGUAAAAAAACUUUCAAGGAAAUAUGUAAAUGGUUGAAAAGUUGUUGUGGAUUUUUACUAGCAGAUGCAUAUGAUUAUUUCUUGAGGGAGUUGGAAAAAGUCUUGGACAAGAACUCUGACAAAUAUGAGCAAUGUUCAAAAAAAGGUAGCUGGUUAUUGAGUAGAAUAUUGGGCAAGUUUGGAUGUAUAUUAUCUGUACACAAAUCCACUAAAAAGAAGGGUGUUUUCUUGUAUCUGACUUCUGCCACUAUGGAGCAGUUGUUAGAAAGCCUACAUAAUGCAAAUUCACACUUACGGUUGUUGAAAAAAGGUAAUGUCAGACAAGAAGAUGAUAUUUCAACCCUACCUUUGGAAACCAAGUCUCAAACACUAGACCAUAUGUAUCGUGUACUCAUACUUGAAUGCAAUACGAGACUUAAAAAUCAAUCUAAGAGAAUUAAAGAAUACUAUACUAGGGACCCUCUGUCCAUUGAUAAGUUCAAUUUCAAUGAAGCUCUAUCAUCUUUUGAUCCUGUUAUUUGGAAUGUUGUAUGUCUUCUUACCUCAAAUUCUGAGGAAAUACAUGCUUUCAAAAAGACAUCUUUGCAUGUAGCUAAGGAUUUACUUUCAUUUCCUAAUGAUCAUACACCUUUUGGGAUGCAAAGAAAGAUCAGACGAAUUGUACUAGUGUUCAUACUCCAAUUUGUGCUUAGCGAGUCGUGCACAUAUCCUUUUCAUGUAAUUAUGGCUAAUGUAAUUAAGGGACUGACCCAUUCUUCUACCCUUAUUACCAUAGGGAACAGAUUAGGAUUUUGUUGUUCCGAGGACACAUUAGAAAGGCUUUUGCAAGCUGUAAAAGAUUCUAGAGAAGUUAAUGGUCCUUUAGAUCUGCUAGAUUUACAAGCUGUUACACAUGUCACAAUAGAUAAUAUAGAUGUGUUGGCUUCUCAUGCUGCCGUGAACCCCAACCAACCAAGGAGUUGGCAUGGUACAUCAAUAAUGGCUCAGCAGCCAAAGCCAUUUUCUGAACGUUUGGAUCCAAAAUAUGAAUUGUUAGAUCAUGUCACCACUCAACAUGAUAGAAGUAACCUAAAAUCCAACAAAAGAAAAAAAAAGCCAUCAAUAAUGGCUCAGCAGCCAAAGCCAUUUUCUGAACGUUUGGAUCCAAAAUAUGAUUUGUUAGAUUGUGUCACCACUCAACAUGAUGGAAGUAACCUAAUAUCCAACCAAAGAACAAAAAAGCCAUCAGCUCGGAAGAAAAUCAAGUUGAAUCAUGUUCCCAGUCAUCCAAGCAAAGAUGAUUUCAUGCCAACACAGUUCAAAACCAACGUGCAGUCUCAGCUUUCGUGUGAUUCAUUUGUUUUAUCGGAGGAAGAGGUGGAAUCCCUAACUCAAGUUCAUAAUGAUAUGAUACUCUUUAUGUGUGAAAGAUUUGUUUCUGUUGAAAGUGAUCAAUCUUCUUUACCUAUUGUUCCAGGCUUUAAAUGCAAACUUCUUUUAGACUCGGACAAUGUAGAAACUGAGAUUUCUAAGUUUUCCUAUAUGUAUGUGCUUGAUGAGCCAGCAGACUCGCGUCAAACUUUAUUAAGAUCACUUCACCUCUUGUACGAUUCAUUCAAAGUAUCUAAAGACAUUAAUCACCUUGUCGUCGCUGGUGAUGGUGCCACUUUUAAACUUAUUCUUGACAUCAAACAGGAAUAUGGCGAUUCCAUGGAAUGGUUAAUACCAUACAUAGGUGACUGGCAUCUCCUCAAAAACUACCAAGAAGUGAUAAUGAAAAUAUUCUGGGAUUCAGGGCUUAAAGAUCUUGCCAAAUCAACACACAAGAAUAUGACGCUUAACAGUCUAUCCACCUGUUCCAAUUUUAAACGUACUCAUAGAUUUCUAUUACAGGCUCAUGAAGCUAUAUUAAUGUUACAGUUUCAGUGUUUUCUUGACCAGAGAAAUAUCACUGAUGACUCUGAGGCUCUUUCUAAUACAUUUUUUCUGGACAGUGUUAAAUCUUUAAUACAGUCACUUGUAAUUAAAGAUGGUAAUAUUGAUGCAAGCACUUUCAAAGAUUUGCAAUCAGAGUUUUCCCAGUCCCCAAUGUUUACAUCAAUGAAAGAAGAAUUCCUUGUUUUUCGUAAGGAAAUGUCAGACAAACUAGAAACUUUUAGGUUUUGGGAUAGAUUUGUGCAUGAAGACUGCAUGGCGUAUAUUCAUCUGUUCAUUGCAAUUCGUUCACGUAACUGGCAUUUAAGAAAUGCAGCUGUAAAGGAGAUGGCUCCAUUAUUUCAAGCCUGUGACAGGCAAAACUACUCUAAAAUGAUCCCUUUGCACAUAGGUUUUAUGCAGGCAUUACCAGACUACAUACUGAGGCAUUUUGAAAAUGGUGCCUUUGCUUCUAAUAUCAAGGGAACAGAGUUAUCAUCUCUAGGUCUUGAUGAGGCACACGAGACGACAAUUAACAAGGAUAUUAAAAUGUCUUGGUCACGUAGUUUGCCAAAGAAUAUGGAUAGAAUAGCUGGCACGAUCCAAUACCAAGCAAAACUCAUCUCUAAUAUUCAGGAUGAAUUAGACGUGUUUACACCAAAGAAGAUUGUCCUUCAUCGUGAUCUUUCUCCGUCUGUUAUAAAAGCAGAAUUUGCUAAUGUAAAAAUGUAUUUUGGUAAAUUGUUAACAACACAGAUGUUUUUACCAAAUCAAGAGCCUCAGUUGUAUCAUGUCUUUACUAAUGUGCCUGCUACCAAGGACCAACAGGCAAGCCUUCUGUCAUAUCGUCAAAUUGGUCAAGAUUCUUAUUUACUUUUUUGUAAAUUUCAAAUCUUAAAAGAUUCUAGCAACAAGAAGCCUGUUACCCGAAGGCACAAGCUCAAAACAUUUGCUAAAUCUAAAGUAACACGAAGAAGAAUGACAAACCUUGAAAAAGAGAAAAAAAUGAUAACCUUGUGUUACAAGAGAACAAUUGCUUUCUCAGAAGAUAAAGGCUUACCUAUCAGUACCCUUUGUCAAUUUGUAGAGAAGCCGCGUGCUAUUUGUAACUCUAACGACUUACCUCAUAAAGGUGCUAAAUGGGUUAUGUAUGACAUUUUCAAUAAGAGAUAUGGUGAGAAAUUUGAUAUCAUUACAUGUAACCCUAAAAUAACAUUGCCAGGAGCUUGCUAUAUAGCAGAAGGGAUGAAUAUCAUUUAUACCAGCCCUUUGAGACAGUUCAAGACGUUUUUAGAUUAUGCAACAUUUUUAGUCCGUCGUUGGAUACUUUCUAGCUACAGAAAAGGCUUUAUUGAUGUAAGAAUAUUAUUUGACCAAGUGGAUACACAGGGAUUAUCACCCAAAGCAAUAGAGCGUUCUAGGAGAGAUGAGAGUGGUGAUGAUAUAGAAGCAAACUACAAUAAUAUAGCAGAUGAUACUGUCCUUCCUGUGAACUGGUUCAAAUUUUUAAAGGUCAGGACACAGAAACAUUGCCUAAUUCGAUAUUUGUCAAGCAAAUUCAUUGAACUUGUUAAGGAUCAGUUGUUAGAUAAUCAAAUAUUCAUAACAUCUGGAGGAUUUCAUGUAGGGCUAGAAAAAAGACCAAAUUGGACAGGUGUCAAAGUGACAAAGAAAGGUACUGAAUAUCACUCCUUAAUUCACAAUCAUGAAGAAAGCGAUACACAGAUUUUUCUUCAUGUUUUUGAUACGCAAUGUACAGAUAUAUUAAUAUAUUCUAUUGAUAGGGACAUUGGUAUCAUUGGUUUACCCUUGGAAUUUGGGAGCAAGACUGUGUGUAUUCAGUAUAGAUCUAAAGUUGGUGAGGAAAAGUAUUUAAAUAUCAAUCUCUUACAAACUGCAAUAAUGACAGAUUCUGACCUUUCAUGUAUAGUUGAUAAAGAUAUUAGUAUUCUCAAGUGUGUGCAAAUGAUAUAUAUCUGCUCAGGAUGUGACUUUGUGUCCUAUUUUGCGCAUGUAGGAAAAAGUAUGUUUUUCAAUGUAUUUGUGCAAUAUGCCUCCUUCAUUUCAGGUGACAGCAUUGAUACUUUGUUAGGAAAUUUGACAUGUUCCACAGUAGGAUCAGAUAGUGACAAGGGUCUUCUUUCCUUUUAUAGGUUUAUAUUGUGUGUUUAUUUUAAAGCAAACAGAGCCUUUCUUCAUGACUAUGAUUCACCCUUACAACUUUUUAACACAGUUUCUGGUACUUCAGUACUUAUACAUCAUCAAGAAGCAUUAGCUAUAGUCCGCAAAGCUUCAUGGAUAGGGACGUAUGAGGACCAACUUCUUCCAUCAAACACAGCUCUUCGCUUUCACUGGCUUAGGGCAUGUUGGGUUAGCUCUGUAUGGGGGCAGUGCACAAUACCACUUUUUCAAUAUCCAGAUAUUGGUGCACAUGGUUUUUCUGUUUUAGUCGAGAAUGGAAUUUCAAAAGUUGAUAUAGUUUGGGAUUCAAAAGAAAACAUUAAGGAGAUACAAAAUAAUGUUGCCUAUCUUACUCGAGGAUGUUCAUGUGCCAAAAAUAAAUGUUCUAAUAAAAGAUGUAAAUGCAAAAAACAAGGUAACUUUUGCGGACCUGGCUGUACAUGUAGAAGCUGUGAGAAUGUAAAAACAACACAUUUACAGAAUCCUACCUCUGUGUCUUUAAUAGAAUCUGAUAACAGUGAUGAUUCUGAUUAUACAUCUAGUGAUGAAAGUGAUUUGGAAAUUAAUGACAGAGAUAUGCAGGUUGAUGAUGAUGUACAUGUCUUUGAGACCUCUGAAGGUAAUGUAAGGGAAGCUGAGAUAACAGAUUUUUCUGAAGAUGAAACAGAAUUGGUUUAAAUACUGACUGAUAUUACUUGUCAGAAUGUUUAAGAGUUAUUGCUCGGCAUUUGUAUUCUAUUUUAUAUAUGUUUGUAUUCAGAGUUUUAUUUAGUUAUGUACAUGUACAUGCUGCCUCAUUGACGUAAUUACUGGUUAUUACAACUUAAUAUGUAUUAGAACUUUUGUUACAUUACUGUCAGCUUUUUAUCAAAGAGAUUUACUAGUAGAUAUGUUGUCUUCAUAUACAUGCCAGGUGUUUUCAGUUACACCCAUAUUUAUAGUGGUUAUUAAUUCUAGAUUGUUUUCUUGAGCACAUGCAUGUUCAUUAUUAUAUUAUAUUCUAGAGUUGAAGGAAGUGUAAACAAAAUGUUACACUGCUAUCUAGUAUCUACAUGUAUCUUGUAUUCUGCUUUUUAAAAUAAGAUGAAACUUGCCAGCUGACGUUUUGAAUGCUAUGGAGACACUUUUUUUUCUACUAGCGUUUGUACAAUCUUUCUUUUCUUGCCAAAGAAGG
This is a long non-coding RNA of Strongylocentrotus purpuratus (purple sea urchin), 8407 nucleotides long. RefSeq lists it as uncharacterized. Lineage: Eukaryota; Metazoa; Echinodermata; Echinoidea; Camarodonta; Strongylocentrotidae. The transcript is spliced from 2 exons. The record is from RefSeq and is a predicted model, not a curated record.